UACGGGGGGGGUAAGCGUUGUUCGGAAUCACUGGGCUUAAAGCGUGUGUAGGCGGACUUCUAAGUACCUUGUGAAAUCCCACGGCUCAACCUGGGAACUGCGUCCGAUACUGGAUGGCUUGAAUCCGGGAGAGGGAUGCAGAAUUCCAGGUGUAGCGGUGAAAUGCGUAGAUAUCUGGAGGAAUACCGGUGGCGAAGGCGGCAUCCUGGACCGACAUUGACGCUGAGGCGCGAAAGCCAGGGGAGCAAACGGG
RNAcentral lists this ribosomal RNA (253 nucleotides) under uncultured bacterium. RNAcentral's name for it is "partial 16S ribosomal RNA". It matches the Rfam family "Bacterial small subunit ribosomal RNA", at positions 524 to 776 of the family's 1533-position model. The record is from RNAcentral.